AAUCAACGCUGGCGGCGUGCCUAACACAUGCAAGUCGAACGCGAAACGUCCCGCAAGGGAUCGGUAGCGUGGCAAACGGGUGAGUAACACGUGGGUGACCUGCCUUCGAGUGGGGGAUAACGUCCCGAAAGGGACGCUAAUACCGCAUGACAUCCCGCCUUUGAAGAGGUGGAGAUCAAAGCUGCGGAUCGCAAGACGUAGCGCUUGAAGAGGGGCCCGCGCCUGAUUAGCAGUUGGUGGGGUAAUGGCUCACCAAGGCAACGAUCAGUAUCCGGCCUGAGAGGGCGGACGGACACACUGGGACUGGGACACGGCCCAGACUCCUACGGGAGGCAGCAGUGGGGAAUUGUUCGCAAUGGGCGCAAGCCUGACGACGCAACGCCGCGUGGAGGAUGAAGACCUC
Molecule: ribosomal RNA, 403 nt
Filed under: uncultured bacterium
Lineage: Bacteria
Description: bacterial SSU rRNA
Rfam family: Bacterial small subunit ribosomal RNA
Source: RNAcentral